This 253-nucleotide ribosomal RNA is filed under the name uncultured bacterium. RNAcentral describes it as "partial 16S ribosomal RNA". It matches the Rfam family "Bacterial small subunit ribosomal RNA", at positions 524 to 776 of the family's 1533-position model. The record is from RNAcentral.
UACGUAGGGUGCAAGCGUUGUCCGGAAUCAUUGGGCGUAAAGCGCGCGUAGGUGGCCAUUUAAGUCCGCUGUGAAAGUCAAGGGCUCAACCUUUGAAAGCCGGUGGAUACUGGAUGGCUAGAGUACGGAAGAGGCGAGUGGAAUUCCUGGUGUAGCGGUGGAAUGCGCAGAUAUCAGGAGGAACACCAAUAGCGAAGGCAGCUCGCUGGGACGUUACUGACACUGAGGCGCGAAAGCGUGGGGAGCGAACAGG